ACGACCAUACCACAUUGAAAACACCGGUUCUCGUCCGAUCACCGAAGUUAAGCAAUGUCGGGCCUGGUCAGUACUUGGGAGGGUGAUCACCUGGGAAAACUGGGUGUAGCUGUAGGCU
This 118-nucleotide ribosomal RNA is filed under the name Cordylochernes scorpioides. Lineage: Eukaryota; Metazoa; Arthropoda; Arachnida; Pseudoscorpiones; Chernetidae. The record is from RNAcentral.